This 495-nucleotide ribosomal RNA is filed under the name uncultured bacterium. Its description in RNAcentral is "partial 16S ribosomal RNA". It matches the Rfam family "Bacterial small subunit ribosomal RNA", at positions 28 to 507 of the family's 1533-position model. The record is from RNAcentral.
GACGAACGCUGGCGGCUUGCCUAAUACAUGCAAGUCGAACGCUGAAGGAGGAGCUUGCUCUUCUGGAUGAGUUGCGAACGGGUGAGUAACGCGUAGGUAACCUGCCUGGUAGCGGGGGAUAACUAUUGGAAACGAUAGCUAAUACCGCAUAACAGUAGAUGUUGCAUGACAUUUGCUUAAAAGUUGCAAUUGCAUCACUACCAGAUGGACUUGCGUUGUAUUAGCUAGUUGGUGGGGUAACGGCUCACCAAGGCGACGAUACAUAGCCGACCUGAGAGGGGGAUCGGCCACACUGGGACUGAGACACGGCCCAGACUCCUACGGGAGGCAGCAGUAGGGAAUCUUCGGCAAUGGACGGAAGUCUGAACGAGAAACGCCGCGUGAGUGAAGAAGGGUUUUGGAUCGUAAAGAUCUGUUGUAAGAGAAGAACGAGUGUGAGAGUGGAAAGUUCACACUGUGACGGUAUCUUACCAGAAAGGGACGGCUAACUACGUG